This 66-nucleotide transfer RNA is filed under the name Trigonidium sjostedti. RNAcentral's name for it is "tRNA-Gly". Lineage: Eukaryota; Metazoa; Arthropoda; Insecta; Orthoptera; Trigonidiidae. The record is from RNAcentral.
AAUUAAUUAGUAUAUUAGUACAUUUAAUUUCCAAUUAAAUAGAUUGAAAAAAUUUCAAAUUAAUUA